Molecule: ribosomal RNA, 1438 nt
Filed under: uncultured bacterium
Lineage: Bacteria
Description: bacterial SSU rRNA
Rfam family: Bacterial small subunit ribosomal RNA
Source: RNAcentral
AGAGUUUGAUCAUGGCUCAGAACGUACGCUGGCGGCACGCCUAACACAUGCAAGUCGAACGCAGUAGCAAUACUGAGUGGCAAACGGGUGAGUAUAAUGUGGGAAUCUGCCUUUUGGUUUGGAAUAACACGGGGAAACUUGUGCUAAUACCGAAUAAGCCCUUACGGGGAAAGUUUUAAUGCCGAAAGAUGAGCCCGCACUUGAUUAGCUAGUUGGUAAGGUAAAAGCUUACCAAGGCAACGAUCAAUAGCUGUUCUUAGAGGAAGACCAGCCACAUUGGGACUGAGACACGGCCCAGACUCCUACGGGAGGCAGCAGUGGGGAAUCUUGCACAAUGGGGGAAACCCUGAUGCAGCGAUGCCGCGUGAGUGAAGAAGGCCCUUGGGUUGUAAAACUCUUUCGUCGGGGAAGAAAAUGACUGUACCCGAAUAAGAAGGUCCGGCUAACUUCGUGCCAGCAGCCGCGGUAAUACGAAGGGACCUAGCGUAGUUCGGAAUUACUGGGCUUAAAGAGCUCGUAGGUGGUUAAAAAAGUUGAUGGUGAAAUCCCAAGGCUUAACCUUGGAACUGCCAUCAAAACUUUUUAGCUAGAGUGUGAUAGAGGUAAGUGGAAUUUCUAGUGUAGAGGUGAAAUUCGUAGAUAUUAGAAAGAACACCAAAUGCGAAGGCAACUUACUGGGUCACUACUGACACUGAGGAGCGAAAGCAUGGGUAGCGAAGAGGAUUAGAUACCCUCGUAGUCCAUGCCGUAAACGAUGAGUGCUAGACGUUGGAAAUAUAUUUUUCAGUGUCGCAGCGAAAGCAUUAAGCACUCCGCCUGGGGAGUACGACCGCAAGGUUAAAACUCAAAUGAAUUGACGGGGACCCGCACAAGCAGUGGAGCAUGUGGUUUAAUUCGAAGAUACGCGCAGAACCUUACCAACGCUUGACAUGUUCGUCGCGAGACUAAGAGAUUAGUCUUUUCAGUUUGGCUGGACGAAACACAGGUGCUGCAUGGCAGUCGUCAGCUCGUGUCGUGAGAUGUUGGGUUAAGUCCCGCAACGAGCGCAACCCCUACUUUUAGUUGCCACCAUUCAGUUGGGCACUUUAAAAGAACUGCCAGUGAUAAGCUGGAGGAAGGUGGGGAUGACGUCAAGUCCUCAUGGCCCUUAUGUGUUGGGCUACACACGUGCUACAAUGGCACUUACAAUGGGAAGCAAAGAGGUGACUCUAAGCUAAUCCCUAAAAUGUGCCUCAGUUCGGAUUGUACUCUGUAACUCGAGUGCAUGAAGCUGGAAUUGCUAGUAAUCGCGGAUCAGCGCGCCGCGGUGAAUACGUUCCCGGGUCUUGUACACACCGCCCGUCACACCAUGGAAGUUGGUUACACCUUAAGGCAAAGCUUAUACCUUUGACUACGGUACGAUCAGCAACUGGGGUGAAGUCAUAACAAGGUAGCCGUA